ACGUAGGGUGCGAGCGUUAAUCGGAAUUACUGGGCGUAAAGCGUGCGCAGGCGGUUAUGCAAGAGAGAUGUGAAAUCCCCGGGCUCAACCUGGGAACUCCUUUGGUGACUGGAUAACUAGAGUACGGCAGAGGAGGAUGGAACGCCGAGUGUAGCAGUGAAAUGCGUAGAUAUGAGGAGGAACACCGACGGCGAAGGCAACAUUCUGGACUGGAACUGACGCUGAUGCACGAAAGCGUGGGGAGCAAACAG
RNAcentral lists this ribosomal RNA (251 nucleotides) under uncultured prokaryote. RNAcentral describes it as "partial 16S rRNA". It matches the Rfam family "Bacterial small subunit ribosomal RNA", at positions 525 to 775 of the family's 1533-position model. The record is from RNAcentral.